UAAGGAUUCACUGACAUGACACGGCAGGUGAUUUUUCGUAACUCCCACCGUAACAGUUUACUUCAGCCUAUAUCCAUAGUUAAUCAGCGUUUUACUGCCAAUCUUAGCUGACGUGUCUCGUCAUUGGCCACGACAUUCUGGGGGAGGAGCUUAGAGAGGCGGAGAAACGGAAGUCGGAAAACAGAUUUAAACCAAGUUUGAACCGUCGCCUCUGUUUGCCGGUGCUGUGAGAAAACGCCGCUAUCGAAGAGGUCUGGAUGCUAAGACAGACUCUGGAGCUGUUUUUUGUCUUUAACGAGGAGGUUUUGAUGCUAAAACAAACUCUGAAGCUGUUUUUUUUGUCGAACACGAGUGAGACUGGACGCUGAACACAUCUGCGGUGCGAAGGUUUACUGGCUCAGCUGCUGCAGCCUGGACAGAAACACCAGCUCUCACCUUACAAACCCAACAGGAUUCAAACUUCAACCAUUAAAACACAGAGAGAAGAGACAGACGUGAAGACAUUUCCAGAAGGUCUUCAGCUGCUGUCGUCCUCUCCCCCUGCAGAGACAAGAACGCAUGUUAAUCACAGAAACUGACCUUAUUCAUUUCUGAUACCUGAUUACAAUGAUUUACACUAAACUUUUCAGUUCAGGAUAUCAGUGCUCAAAUCCAAACCAUUACUGUUAUACUGUUCAUAUUGUUUGUACUUUUUACAAAUUAUAUAUACUCUUGUUUUAUAUCUUGUCUUGUUCAAGUCAUGCCUUUAUCUAUUUUUGCUGCGAUGAGACUAAAAAGGAUUAUCUUACUCUUACCCAAAUAAAUAGUUCUGAACACUGAAUAUUUUCUGUCUGUUAAAU
Lates calcarifer (barramundi perch) is the source of this 839-nucleotide long non-coding RNA. RefSeq lists it as uncharacterized. NCBI's taxonomy places the organism in Eukaryota, Metazoa, Chordata, Actinopteri, Centropomidae. The record is from RefSeq and is a predicted model, not a curated record. The transcript has 4 exons.